GAAAAAUGAUUGUUCGUAAGGUGUAUUGCUUUUCAGGCAGCAGCUCUCCUUUCUGUUGGGCUUUUAUAUGAGGGAUCGGCACAUCCCCAAACAAUGCAAAUUCUUCUGGGUGAAAUAGGUCGUAGAAGUGGAGGAGAUAAUGUACUUGAAAGGGAGGGUUAUGCAGUUGCUGCAGGGUUUUCACUGGGAUUGGUCGCGUUGGGUCGUGGAGAAGAUGCUCUUGGUUUCGUGGAUGCUUUGGUUGAUCGGUUGUU
This is a non-coding RNA of Nicotiana tabacum (common tobacco), 254 nucleotides long. The record is from RefSeq and is a predicted model, not a curated record. Lineage: Eukaryota; Viridiplantae; Streptophyta; Magnoliopsida; Solanales; Solanaceae.